GCGUCGGUUGAGCAACUGGCUGGCUCGCGUGGUUGUAGCCCACGUUCCUUCGGGACCUGGGGGUUCGAAUCCCUCCCGGCGCA
This 83-nucleotide transfer RNA is filed under the name Actinomycetota bacterium. RNAcentral describes it as "tRNA-Tyr". It matches the Rfam family "tRNA". From Rfam's summary of the family: Transfer RNA (tRNA) molecules are approximately 80 nucleotides in length. Their secondary structure includes four short double-helical elements and three loops (D, anti-codon, and T loops). The record is from RNAcentral. Lineage: Bacteria; Bacillati; Actinomycetota.